This is a long non-coding RNA of Echinops telfairi (small Madagascar hedgehog), 237 nucleotides long. RefSeq lists it as uncharacterized. The record is from RefSeq and is a predicted model, not a curated record. The transcript is spliced from 3 exons. Lineage: Eukaryota; Metazoa; Chordata; Mammalia; Afrosoricida; Tenrecidae.
CAGAGCAGGGCGAGCAGCGCCCACUCCCAGCGGUCAUACAGGAAUUACAGCUUUGGGCCCUGUCCUUGGGGUUCAAGCUACCACUUUGCUUAUGAUAUGAAGGUGACCCAGGUCUGCAGGUUCUUCCAUCAAGGCUUCUGCUUCUACGGGGAUCGUUGCAGAUAUCAGCACCCGCAGCAGCCCCCCUACCCUCUGGGCUGGAAUCACUAUGGCUCAGAGCCACAGCUGGCCGUGCUG